Molecule: long non-coding RNA, 169 nt
Organism: Thalassophryne amazonica
Lineage: Eukaryota; Metazoa; Chordata; Actinopteri; Batrachoidiformes; Batrachoididae
Exons: 3
Source: RefSeq, a predicted model, not a curated record
AGCAUGCUUCAUGGAGGAGAGAUAAAAGGAAGAAAAGUGUGGACAGCGCACUCACUGACUUGCAGAAUGAUGUCCAGGAGAUUGACAGCUCCACUGUGUUUCAUCAAUAUUAUUGUCCCCGCAAGGAUCCACUCUCCUCUCCUCCCAGGAAUGACCCGUAUACAAUCCU